Long non-coding RNA from Numida meleagris (helmeted guineafowl), 552 nucleotides. RefSeq lists it as uncharacterized. The transcript has 2 exons. Lineage: Eukaryota; Metazoa; Chordata; Aves; Galliformes; Numididae. The record is from RefSeq and is a predicted model, not a curated record.
GCCGAGGCCUCGCGCCGCGGGUUGGGCCGGGCCGGGCCCCGAGGCCUCACUGUGGGGUUGGAGCGGAGCUGCGCCCGGGGCCUCGAAGGGCUCCGGGAAGCGGGGACCGAACGAGGAUGCUGCUUCGUGCUGGUGCAAUCCGCAGACCUAUUUAAAGGGGAAAAACUAGGAACUGCACAUUGAAAAUCUCUCACAGCUGGACCCUGAGCCUGACUCACUUCAUGAAGCUCUGGAAAAGACUCUUCGCCGCAGAUUGACUUAGCAAAUCUGAAAUCCAGCAACGCCUGCAGCGAGCAGCAGCAGCACAGGGCUGGCUGCGGGUGAUUGCUGCCAUUUCCUGCCCUCUCCCUCAGGACCCGGUCCCCACUGCUGCCUCCAUCGAUUGGAUGCGAUGCAUCCGGCCGCUAAAAGCAAAGGUUGCUCCGGAGCGAUACAGGAUGUGCAAGCAGGAAAGAGCCGUGCAGCUCGCCAGCCUUUUCUUUGCUAUUUAUCUUGCUGUCUGUCUAAAGCAUAUUCUCUUUGAAAACGGAAUAACAUCAAUCCGGAAUAGUA